UCGGCCUACGCCUCUACGCCAUGCAACAUCCGUGGAGCUCCGCGCGAGCGCAUCGAGCCCAGAGGCAGCGGCGAGCCUCUGAUGCCUCCUUCCCCAACUGGAGUCGCUGCCGGGCGCGUAGGUCCGCGUAGAGCUUGGCAGCGGUGGGGUGCCUCUAAUGCCUCCUUCCCCAACCGGAACCGUAGCCAGCUGCAGCGGUGGCCAAGGACAUAAGCAGCACGGUCACCUUGUCGGCAGUUCACAUCAUCCCUGGUGCGCGUCGCCCAUCACCCUCCACAUCCUUACCAACCUGAGCAAUGAAUAAGAAUGAAACAAAAGUGGUGUAGUGAUUUUGUUUUUGUUCAUCUACUACAAUUAAUUCCGGUGCUGCUGUUCUUGCAAGAUUGAGCACGUACCUCGGACGAGCUGCAUGAGCAGCGGUAGAAGCACGCGUCGCGUACCGGAGCUGCCCAUGGGUC
This 458-nucleotide long non-coding RNA is filed under the name Setaria italica (foxtail millet). RNAcentral describes it as "long non-coding RNA (SITA_LNC005805)". The record is from RNAcentral. Lineage: Eukaryota; Viridiplantae; Streptophyta; Magnoliopsida; Poales; Poaceae.